AACGAACGUUAGCGGCGCGCCUAACACAUGCAAGUCGAGCGAGAAAGGGAGCAAUCCCCGGUACAGCGGCGCACGGGUGAGUAACACGUAGGUAAUCUACCUCCGAGUGGGGGAUAACCUUCCGAAGGAGGGCUAAUACCGCAUAAGACCACGACCUCGCAAGGGGAAGGGUCAAAGCCGGCCACUAUACAUAAGCUGGCGCUUGGAGAUGAGCCUGCGGCCCAUCAGCAGUUGGUAGGUAAUGGCCUACCAAGGCGUAGACGGGUAGCUGGUCUGAGAGGGAUGAUCAGCCACACUGGAACUGAGACACGGUCCAGACUCCUACGGGAGGCAGCAGUGGGAAUCUUGCGCAAUGGGCGAAAGCCUGACGCAGCGACGCCGCGUGGGUGAUGAAGGCC
This 398-nucleotide ribosomal RNA is filed under the name uncultured bacterium. RNAcentral describes it as "bacterial SSU rRNA". It matches the Rfam family "Bacterial small subunit ribosomal RNA", at positions 29 to 416 of the family's 1533-position model. The record is from RNAcentral.